This 1282-nucleotide long non-coding RNA is filed under the name Homo sapiens (human). RNAcentral describes it as "HSALNT0280364". Lineage: Eukaryota; Metazoa; Chordata; Mammalia; Primates; Hominidae. The record is from RNAcentral.
GAUUUAAGCUAUAUGGCAUCAAGAUUGGUUGCCUUCCCACUGCCAGUAUCCUUCCGCUUUUUUGUUUCUAGCAGAACCUGCCUCCCAUGCUGGAGACAGAGAAUGCCAAAGACUCACUUUCCCAGCUUCCCCUGUGUCUAGAGCAGGUGACCCAUUCGUGGCCAAUGGGACCAAAGAGAAUACCUGCUAAGGGAUUCUGGGACAAAGUUCCUCCCUCCUUUUCUGAUAUUUGCUACUUGGAGCUGAGGGGGGCCAUUGCAAGACCAUGACAGAGGAUCAAGAGAACUACAAAGAAGAUGGAAUUGGAUGGAAAAUAAAGAAUGAAUAUGGUAUGUGACAGAGCUCCCUCCUGGUGGUUUUUAAAGAUGCUGGAAAGAGUGGUGGAGACAUGGAGGCCUUAGAAGAUGCCCUUGUAGUGUUGUCUUCAGCUUUCCUGGGGACUGUUGGAAUCCGCUGCAGAGAUGACUGCCAUGCCAUGAAGACACUCAAGCAGCCCUAUGAAAAGGUCCACUUGGGGAGGAACUGAGACCUCUUGCCAACAACCAUGUGAGUAACCCGUCUUGGAAGACGAUCCACCAACCCCAGUCAAGGCUUCAGAUGACUGUCACUCCAGCCAACAUCUUGACUACGACCUCAUGAGAGACUCUGUGCCAGAACCACCCAGCUAAGCUGCUCCUGAAUUCCUGACCCCCAGAAACUGAGAUAAUAAAUGUUUAUUAUUUUGAGCCACAAUAUUUUUGGGUAAUUUGUUGGAAGGCAAUAGAUAACUAAUACAGGCUCUCAUAAUGUCAUUUAUUUGGGUCCAGUCAGCAUGCUUUAGGAUCUGGGAGUUUUUUUCCUUCAUCCAUAAUCUAACAGCAAUAUAAGGAAUACAAGAAAAAGAAACUAAAGAGACUUCCCUGGAUUCUCCUGGUAUUGGUGGAUGUAACAUUUGACUCUUUACUUCUUCCCUGCUGAGUCUGAAGGGCUUUUGCUUGAAGUAAUUUGCCAUUUUGGAAGAGAAGCACUAUUUGGCUAGUGUGUGUUUUAGUGUCAGAAAGUCCCUUAGGAAAUGAAUAAACCCAGAGUCUCCAACUCACUUAAUAAAGCAUUGCAUUUAAUCCUGCAACAAUCCUGUGAUGUAGGCACACUUGCCUGAUUUUAAGGCUGAGGGAAUUGAAGUAUUAUGUGUCAGGGAUACACACAAAUGUGGGGGAAUAUGAAAGGUCUUGGAGGCUGUCUUCAUAAAUAUCCAGUUACUUCUGCGUCAUGGAAGAGAGGAAAAAAGAAAGGCAUUAAGAAG